UACGUAGGUGGCAAGCGUUAUCCGGAAUCACUGGGCGUAAAGCGCACGUAGGCGGAUUUUUAAGUCAGGGGUGAAAUCCCGAGGCUCAACCUCGGAACUGCCUUUGAUACUGGAGAUCUUGAGUCCGGAAGAGGUAAGUGGAACUGCGAGUGUAGAGGUGAAAUUCGUAGAUAUUCGCAAGAACACCAGUGGCGAAGGCGGCUUACUGGUCCGGAACUGACGCUGAGGUGCGAAAGCGUGGGGAGCAAACAGG
This 253-nucleotide ribosomal RNA is filed under the name uncultured bacterium. RNAcentral describes it as "partial 16S ribosomal RNA". It matches the Rfam family "Bacterial small subunit ribosomal RNA", at positions 524 to 776 of the family's 1533-position model. The record is from RNAcentral.